AAAGGAUUGCAAGGCGACGCUUUACAUCCAAUCGAUGGUUGAUGCGACUAAUUUUGACAUAAUCACUCAUGUUGAAUCUUCGAAAGAGGCAUGGAAUAUUCUUGUCAAGUACUAUGAGGAGACGAGAAAGUCAAGGUUAUCAAGUUGCAAACUUUGCAUUGACAAUAUGAAUUAUUAUCGAUGAGAGAAGACGAAAAGAUUGCAGGCUGUGUGUUUGAAGGUGCAAAAACUAGUCAAUCUC
RNAcentral lists this long non-coding RNA (241 nucleotides) under Lathyrus oleraceus (garden pea). Its description in RNAcentral is "Pisum sativum (pea) long non-coding RNA (PSAT_LNC032473)". Lineage: Eukaryota; Viridiplantae; Streptophyta; Magnoliopsida; Fabales; Fabaceae. The record is from RNAcentral.